GGGGGUAUAGUUCAUUGAUAGAGCACUUGCUUAGCAUGAACAAGACCCUGGGUUCAAUCCCCAGCACUGCCA
RNAcentral lists this transfer RNA (72 nucleotides) under Marmota marmota marmota (Alpine marmot). It matches the Rfam family "tRNA". From Rfam's summary of the family: Transfer RNA (tRNA) molecules are approximately 80 nucleotides in length. Their secondary structure includes four short double-helical elements and three loops (D, anti-codon, and T loops). The record is from Rfam by way of RNAcentral. RNAcentral also lists the same sequence under 3 other names. Lineage: Eukaryota; Metazoa; Chordata; Mammalia; Rodentia; Sciuridae.